CUUGAAUUCAACAGGAGCUGACAUGGGAGU
RNAcentral lists this non-coding RNA (30 nucleotides) under Mus musculus (house mouse). The record is from RNAcentral. Lineage: Eukaryota; Metazoa; Chordata; Mammalia; Rodentia; Muridae.